UAUCGGGGGUUUUCCCCUGCGGUAAGUAAUUCUAGAUCAUAGCGAUCGGCUUGCACGAGAUGAUAACCCCAUUUCCUUCGUUUCCUAACACUUUCUAUUUGCAUGCCUCCUGCCGCACGAGCUCGCCGACCUACGCGUCGAUCCGGUUUUAAGUGGCAAGCGGGAUAAGGGAUAGAUCUAGUACACCGCAUACCAUCCGACCGAUUUCCCCAAUCGGUAGCACACCUCACUAGUCGAGGGGGUUUCCCCUGCGCUCGCCGACCUACGCGUCGAUCCGGAUUUAAGUGGCAGCGGGAAAAGGAAUCUACAACGCCAACCAUCCGACAGUGUUCACGAUAAGAAAGGAAACGUCUCUUAUCGUGGGGUUUCCCCUGCGGUAAGUUAUUUCACAUCACCAGUACAAGACGGUAACAAAAUUUGUAAACUUAAAUGUUUCUUUUUUUUUGCAUGUUCCCUACCGCAUGAGUUCGUGCUACAUGUUGGAAUUACACGCGAAAUGAUAGAGAAUCGUUUUUCAGUACACAUGCCACAACACACUAUCGGUAUUCGUUUUCCUUCAUCUAACUGUAAGAAACAGUCACUGCGCAACAUCCUACGAUAGCCAAGCAUAUAGACGAAACAUUAAUGUUGUAUCAUGCUAACCCGUGACAGGCAAGUGCUCAGUAACUCACGCACGUCCUUCAACGCACACAUCAUGAAACAUCUGGUGAAUGAGAUUGCUGAGCAAAACACUUACCAAAUGGAAUAGAAUGGAUGAGUUUAUUUUAUGCAUCAUGUACCUCCCUUUUUGCCUUAUAAUGUGACCAGUGCCUUAUUUUUUUCUUUUGUUUUAUGUUAGCAUAGGAUUAGUAUUAGUAUUAGUUUGGUUUAAUUAGAUAUAAGAUUUUAUUGUGCUAAUAUACGCAUGGACUAUUGAAACACAUAAU
Molecule: long non-coding RNA, 926 nt
Organism: Anopheles gambiae (African malaria mosquito)
Lineage: Eukaryota; Metazoa; Arthropoda; Insecta; Diptera; Culicidae
Exons: 3
Source: RefSeq, a predicted model, not a curated record